UGUACAGAUGGGGCAUCCCGUUUGUACCAAAGGAGCAAUCCGCUGAAAGAUGGGCUCAUAUCUGAUUAGUUAGUUGGCAGGGCAACGGCCUACCAAGACUGCGAUCAGUAGCCGGACUGAGAGGUUGAACGGCCACAUUGGGACUGAGAUACGGCCCAGACUCCUACGGGAGGCAGCAGUGGGGAAUAUUGGGCAAUGGGCGAAAGCCUGACCCAGCAACGCCGCGUGAAGGAAGAAGGUCUUCGGAUUGUAAACUUCUUUUAUGAGGGACGAAGGACGUGACGGUACCUCAUGAAUAAGCCACGGCUAACUACGUGCCAGCAGCCGCGGUAAUACGUAGGUGGCAAGCGUUAUCCGGAUUUACUGGGUGUAAAGGGCGCGUAGGCGGGGAGACAAGUCAGGUGUGAAAUCUAUGGGCUUAACCCAUAAACUGCACUUGAAACUGUAACUCUUGAGUGCUGGAGAGGUAGAUGGAAUUCCUUGUGUAGCGGUGAAAUGCGUAGAUAUAAGGAAGAACACCAGUGGCGAAGGCGAUCUACUGGACAGUAACUGACGCUGAGGCGCGAAAGCGUGGGGAGCAAACAGGAUUAGAUACCCUGGUAGUCCACGCUGUAAACGAUGAAUACUAGGUGUGGGGGGACUGACCCCCUCCGUGCCGCAGUUAACACAAUAAGUAUUCCACCUGGGGAGUACGGCCGCA
This 700-nucleotide ribosomal RNA is filed under the name uncultured rumen bacterium. RNAcentral describes it as "bacterial SSU rRNA". It matches the Rfam family "Bacterial small subunit ribosomal RNA", at positions 173 to 890 of the family's 1533-position model. The record is from RNAcentral.